Molecule: long non-coding RNA, 783 nt
Filed under: Pan troglodytes (chimpanzee)
Lineage: Eukaryota; Metazoa; Chordata; Mammalia; Primates; Hominidae
Description: long non-coding RNA NONPTRT017136
Source: RNAcentral
AGCGUGUCCAUCUCCCUGCUUUGAAGAAGGAUGUUGGGAACUGACUGUAAGGAAGACAGGAUUGGAGAACCAGGUUUAGAAGAGAAAAGGCAGUACCAGAAGUUUUUGAUUGGAGAAAACUACAGGGCAAUGUUGCACAAGAACCAUUGCUGUGUCUCAGGACUGCAUCAUUGCUUACCCAACAUGACUCAGCCUCGGUAUUGCCACUGACUCACGGAGCUCCUAAUAGAGGAGAAUUAGUGUCACAGAUUGACUGGAAAACCAAUCCACAUGAAGCCAGGAAGAGAAAUGAAGCUGCUGUUGCUGAAUCCAUAGCUGGCCUUAAUGAUGCUGGCUAGGAAAGACGGCCCAUUCUGGGAGAGAUAAGUCAAUUUUGCAGUGUCUGUUAUUAUCAUAGUGACUAUUGUCCUCCUGUUUUAUAUUUAUUUACCUAAAUUGUUUUGGAAAGACUCAGAGGUAUAGAGACAUGCCUACUUUUUGCAAAAAUCAUCACACUGUCAUGGAGGUAGUCCAGGCUAUGGGGCUCUUAUUUGUUGGUGUCUUGGGCAAGUUGCUUGACCUCUGAUCAUUGUUUGCUUAUUCUUAUAUCGCCCCUGUAUUUCAGACUCACUCUGUGUCAGGCAUUUGUUUACCUUUGUAGCAAGCUCAGGAGGAAAAUACCAUUGCCCUUGUUUUACAGGUGAUGAAACUGUACGUUUUCCAAGGACACAGUGCUAGUAAGUAAUGAAUGUGAAAUUUUAACUGUUUCGAUCUCUUCUCAGAGCCAGUGCUAACUACUCUCCU